Trichobilharzia regenti is the source of this 46-nucleotide non-coding RNA. The record is from Rfam. Lineage: Eukaryota; Metazoa; Platyhelminthes; Trematoda; Strigeidida; Schistosomatidae.
AUAGUGCUGAAGAGUCCCAAACUAGGACGAAACAGCUGUCCAGUAA